RNAcentral lists this small nuclear RNA (106 nucleotides) under Catagonus wagneri (Chacoan peccary). The record is from RNAcentral. Lineage: Eukaryota; Metazoa; Chordata; Mammalia; Artiodactyla; Tayassuidae.
GUGCUCGCUUCGGCAGCACAUAUACUAAAGUUGGAACGAUACAGAGAAGAUAAGCAUGGCCUUGCACAAGGAUGACAUGCAAAUUCGUGAAGCCUUCCAUAUUUUU